GUGUGCCUACGGGGGGCAGCAGUGGGGAAUAUUGGGCAAUGGGCGCAAGCCUGACCCAGCAACGCCGCGUGAAGGAAGAAGGCUUUCGGGUUGUAAACUUCUUUUCUCAGGGACGAAGAAAGUGACGGUACCUGAGGAAUAAGCCACGGCUAACUACGUGCCAGCAGCCGCGGUAAUACGUAGGUGGCAAGCGUUAUCCGGAUUUACUGGGUGUAAAGGGCGUGUAGGCGGGACUGCAAGUCAGAUGUGAAAACCA
This 256-nucleotide ribosomal RNA is filed under the name uncultured bacterium. RNAcentral's name for it is "partial 16S ribosomal RNA". It matches the Rfam family "Bacterial small subunit ribosomal RNA", at positions 333 to 603 of the family's 1533-position model. The record is from RNAcentral.